AGUGGCGGACGGGUGAGUAACGCGUGAGAAUCUGCCUUGGGGUCGGGGACAACCACUGGAAACGGUGGCUAAUACCGGAUAAGCCGAUUGGUGAAAGAUUUAUUGCCCGAAGAGGAGCUCGCGUCUGAUUAGCUAGUUGGUGAGGUAAGAGCUCACCAAGGCAGCGAUCAGUAGCUGGUCUGAGAGGACGAUCAGCCACACUGGGACUGAGACACGGCCCAGACUCCUACGGGAGGCAGCAGUGGGGAAUUUUCCGCAAUGGGCGAAAGCCUGACGGAGCAAGACCGCGUGAGGGAGGAAGGCUCUUGGGUUGUAAACCUCUUUUCUCAGGGAAGAAGCUCUGACGGUACCUGAGGAAUCAGCCUCGGCUAACUCCGUGCCAGCAGCCGCGGUAAUACGGAGGAGGCAAGCGUUAUCCGGAAUUAUUGGGCGUAAAGCGUCCGCAGGUGGCGAUUCAAGUCUGCUGUCAAAGCACGGGGCUUAACUCGUAAAGGCAGUGGAAACUGAAUAGCUAGAGUGCCGUAGGGGUAGAGGGAAUUCCCGGUGUAGCGGUGAAAUGCGUAGAGAUCGGGAAGAACAUCGGUGGCGAAAGCGCUCUACUGGACGGCAACUGACACUCAGGGACGAAAGCUAGGGGAGCGAAUGGGAUUAGAUACCCC
This 659-nucleotide ribosomal RNA is filed under the name uncultured bacterium. RNAcentral describes it as "bacterial SSU rRNA". It matches the Rfam family "Bacterial small subunit ribosomal RNA", at positions 94 to 788 of the family's 1533-position model. The record is from RNAcentral.